This 208-nucleotide non-coding RNA is filed under the name Porphyromonadaceae. The record is from RNAcentral. Lineage: Bacteria; Pseudomonadati; Bacteroidota; Bacteroidia; Bacteroidales. RNAcentral also lists the same sequence under 1 other name.
UACCUUUGCAAUUGUAUUGGUAAUUUUAUUAUCAGUUUUUUAGAUAAUGAAAUUGAAAAGAGAAUCCGGUGCAAGUCCGGAAUUGUAUCCCCAGUUGUGAGUCUUUAUAGUGAUUUUGCUCUACAAGUGUUACUUUUUCUAUAACGAAAAGGGAAGACCUGCAAAAUCAGGAACAAUCCAGAAGACUUGCCAAUGCAAAGUAAUGUUU